GAGUUUGAUCUUGGCUCAGGAUGAACGCUGGCGGCGUGCCUAAUACAUGCAAGUCGAGCGAACAGACGAGGAGCUUGCUCCUCUGACGUUAGCGGCGGACGGGUGAGUAACACGUGGAUAACCUACCUAUAAGACUGGGAUAACUUCGGGAAACCGGAGCUAAUACCGGAUAAUAUAUUGAACCGCAUGGUUCAAUAGUGAAAGACGGUUUUGCUGUCACUUAUAGAUGGAUCCGCGCCGCAUUAGCUAGUUGGUAAGGUAACGGCUUACCAAGGCAACGAUGCGUAGCCGACCUGAGAGGGUGAUCGGCCACACUGGAACUGAGACACGGUCCAGACUCCUACGGGAGGCAGCAGUAGGGAAUCUUCCGCAAUGGGCGAAAGCCUGACGGAGCAACGCCGCGUGAGUGAUGAAGGUCUUCGGAUCGUAAAACUCUGUUAUUAGGGAAGAACGAAAUGUGUAAGUAACUAUGCACGUCUUGACGGUACCUAAUCUAGAAAGCCACGGCUAACUACGUGCCAG
This 522-nucleotide ribosomal RNA is filed under the name uncultured microorganism. RNAcentral's name for it is "bacterial SSU rRNA". It matches the Rfam family "Bacterial small subunit ribosomal RNA", at positions 9 to 511 of the family's 1533-position model. The record is from RNAcentral.